AUCAUUACAAAACAUCGUGUAUUUACAAACGACUUUAUUUUUUCAAGACGACGUCCUUUCAAGAUUCGAAUGUUUUUUCUCGUGAUAACCAUAUCACGUAAAACAUCAGAUUUGUCUUGUAAAGCUUCUGCGCGACUUCAUAUUGGACGGGGCAUUAUUGUUGUAGUAAGUAAACCACACGAGUAAACAUUCUUUAUUGAGAGUGAUUUACAAAAGAUGGAGCUUGACGGUUGGACCAUGACAAGUUCCUCCAAAACCAUCGAUUCUUGCGCUUGUCAUGGCGAGACAUAUUUUCCGUUUCUGAUCUUAACAUAUCCCACAUUAUCUGCACAUCCUCGUACCCACAAGUUUGAAUGUCAUCGCGAAGUUUCAGAAGCCCGUCACCUGAUAACAACAGAUGCAUGAACAAAGCACUAGUUUUUUUCUCAAUCAAGAAUCUAAAAGAAAGCAAUGUUCACAAGAAUAUAACAAAAUAAAGUAAGAUUCUAUGCUUAAGAGCAUUCAUUAUUCUACGACACUGUUGAAAUUGCUGCUAAGACAAUGGGGCCAUCCAACAAUAGGUCUAAAUCGAUCAUCUUUGGAUGCUGCUUUCGCCCCAAAAAAAAAAAAAAAAGAUAUGGAUAUAUGUCAUCUCUAGACAUUAUUUUUCAUGGCUGACUCAUCAAGGAAUUAGAUUCCUUCAACAUGAGCAGUAGAACUUUAUGUUAUAGCUUUAUUACAAGUUUUUUGACAUAAUAUACAGAGGUACAUAGAGUAAAUUGUGAGAUACACGUUCUUCAUGGUGUACAUAAAGAGAGCAGAAAUCUACAUGCAUACUAAGUAGGUUAUGACUCCAAAGUAUUUCAGUACCAAUCCAAUAUUCGAAGAAGACGAGUUCUUAAAUUUAACCCUCCACCCCCAACACACACAAACACAUGUAUAACGAAUAAUCCAACUAUAUUGACCAUAAAAUGAAGAGCGUGUUUGGUACACAAUAUUGAAUAAAACUUGACAGUUGACACUAUAUAUUACCAAACAAGUCAAAGAUGCAUAGUAUGUGGAUUUCAAAUUCAAAUUAUUUCACUAUCAAUCCAAUAUUCCAAGUCACACUGCAGAGCUUACCCUCCACCCACCUACCCCACACACAAAAUAACAAAUAAUAGUCCAACAAACAAGGUAUUGAUUAUGGUCCAUUAAAGUAGCACAAAACUCAAAAGUGGGGCAUUAUUUUGGUAGUUAGCAGUUUGAUUUAUUACUAACUUGGGUCUUAACACACUUUAAUGUCAUUGAGUGGAAGUAAUCUAGUGGAUAUAAGCACCCAUUAGUGGAUAUGUUCACUAAAUAGUAUGAAAAGAAUUUAAAAAUAUUCGAAUCCCAUCAUUACUAAAGAUUAGGAAAAAUCAAAAUAUGAAAUUGUGUUCAUAAUAAGAGCAUAUCCUAUCCAAAAGUUCUGAAUACCAAUAAUCAGAUUACGAUGCAAAUGUAGAAAGCCAUAUGCUGAUACACAAUCAAGGCUGUGGAUGUUGCCAUCAUUAGAAUUUUUGCUCUUAUAUACAGAGUGCAAUGCAUAUAAUCCAAUAGGCAUGACGGAAUCUCAUCCAGUAAACAAUCAUCCAAAUCAACUCUCAAUUUAUAAUUACCUACACGCCGUCUAAUAUUUUAGGCGACAUGAUAAAGGGGACCCACUUAAGUUGAUUAAACACUCGAUACAUCUAUCAAAGGCUACCAACCACCUCACGACCAAACAAAAAUGUCAAGCUCGCAACCAAUCAUAGUCGUGGGGUCCACCCAGUGGCUCCUCUAUAUCGUGUUAGAACUCGAUCUCACAUCAAUCUUUGGCCUUGGUCGACUAGUUAUUUGACAGUUCAACACUAUUCUGGUCCCAACCUAUUAUAAACUCUAGCAAGGGAUGAGACACGGUUCAAAGGGAUGUGAAAUCCUGAUACUUAGCUAAAACUCUAUCCAAUCAAUUUCUCUAAUAAAACACCAACUGCCUUAAAAAUCAUAGAGUAUUCGGCUACUGGUCACAUUUUCCCAACAGUCGAGCAUUCUGACGUGUGUUCUUGAGUAGAGAGGGCAGCUUUCGGUUAAGUCGUCAUGGAAGUCAAAACAAGAAAAAGACCCUUUAUUCUGCACUGAUGAAAAGAAUGAGGAAUCUUCUACAUAAAGGUAGCUAAGUAGAGUGGUAGAUUAUAUCAAGUUACUUUUUCUUUGAAAACAAGAAGGCCCCAAUAAAUUGCUUAACUAUGUAUUCCUUCAUAACUUCACAGUAAAGUAUGUCAGAAAUUAUCAAAUUAAUCCUCAUACCGUUAAAGACAACUUAUAUCAAUAAUAUUCUUUCCCUUCUCAAUAUAUUAAUCUUUUAGAUGUGGUUCUGCAACAUAUCACCGUCACCGAUUAAUGAAAAUUGUACGCAUUUCAUGUAAAAAUGAAUCUAGAAUGUGAGGGGCGUAAUGAAGAUAUAAUUUAACUAAAUAUAUUUGUCAGAAAGAAGCCCAAACUUUUCAAAAGAGAUUUCAAUAGUUACAUGAUCAAAAAAUAAUGAAAAACAGAACAUGAAUAUGUUUUGCCACAAGUUAAAGAAAAAAGUUAAAAACUUCAACUUUUUUUUUUUUUUUUUUUAAUUUAAAGAAACUUAUCAUAUUUAAUUUUCUACCUUUGCAUCCCAAUAUUAAUUAUCUCCCCACAUGUCAUGUAUCUACUCCUUAAUAUUCAUCCGCCUCUGUUCAAUUUAGCGUAUAAAGUAUGCCUACGUUGAAUAAAAAUAUUUUUGUUUAUUUAAUUAAAUCUUUGGCACAAAAUUCCACAUACAAGCUGAAUUUAUCUUUUUCAUAUUAUAACACUUGUAUUUAUAAAGCUUAAUCUCCACUCAGCCUCCUGAAAAUUUCGGGCCGGACGGGAGUCGCCCCAUUGCCAUCCCUACAUAAAUAUCCCCAACCCGUUACCAUACACGCAGAUAUAGAGAGAAAUGACUGACCGUUUUUGCGAGUCUUGACGCGUGCAGUAAAAGCACACCAAGCUCUUCUAACAGGGAAAACCAUUUUCUGCCACCACUCCAUCACCUUAAUCUUCACUUUCCUCCGCCGAUUCCCUCCGCCGAGUCGACUCAAUGCCACCCUUA
Molecule: long non-coding RNA, 3100 nt
Filed under: Olea europaea (common olive)
Lineage: Eukaryota; Viridiplantae; Streptophyta; Magnoliopsida; Lamiales; Oleaceae
Description: long non-coding RNA (OEUR_LNC003814)
Source: RNAcentral